CAUUUGUUGUACCAAGUUUAGUUAUUAUGUCCCCAAGGGGCGUAGCGUGGUGGCAAAGGGCUUGAGAUCUACACAGUAGGUCUCGAGUUCGAGUCAGAGCAUGCAUAUCUUAUAAGAGCCCGGGAUAGCAAGGGUUUUACUUGCUUACUUGGACCCACAAAGUG
Long non-coding RNA from Populus euphratica (Euphrates poplar), 164 nucleotides. RefSeq lists it as uncharacterized. The record is from RefSeq and is a predicted model, not a curated record. The transcript is spliced from 3 exons. Lineage: Eukaryota; Viridiplantae; Streptophyta; Magnoliopsida; Malpighiales; Salicaceae.